GUUUUAAUAGUUUAAUAAAAAUAUGAAUUUUGUAAAUUCAAGAUAAUUAUAAUUUUAAAACU
Molecule: transfer RNA, 62 nt
Filed under: Platypedia putnami
Lineage: Eukaryota; Metazoa; Arthropoda; Insecta; Hemiptera; Cicadidae
Description: tRNA-Thr
Source: RNAcentral